AGCACAGAACCGGUGAUGCCGCGGUGUAGACACAGGGCCUGGACCUCCAGAACCAGCGAUGCCCCAGUGUAGACACAGGGCCUGGACCUCCAGAACCAGCGAUGUCGUGGGGUAGACACAGGUCCUGGACCUCCAGAACCGGCGAUAUCGUGGUGUAGGCACAGGGCCUGGACCUCCAUUGCUGGCAGGAAUGCAAAUGGCAUGGCCACUCUAAACACCAGCUUGACAGUUUCACCCAAAAGUAAACACCCGACUAAUGUACAACCCCACAAUGACACUCUUGGGGUGUUUAUUCCAAAGAAAUGAAGACGUAUCUUCAUGCCAAAAACUGUGCAGCUGCAUUUGUAACAGGCAGAACGUAGAGACAACCCGAGCGUCCUUCAGUGGACACACGAACGGCCGCACCGCGGAACGCUACUCAGCCAUGAAAACAAACAGACCAGCUGCACACAGCAACUUGGACCAUCUCCAGAGAAUUCUGCCGAGUGGGAAAAGCUGACCUCAAAAAGCCUGUACAUGCCAUGACGCUGUUUAUGGAACUGGCAUCAUCAAACCAGAGACCGAGAACAGGGAUCUGAAGGGAGCCGAGCUCCUUCUGCAGAAGGGCGCUGAGAAGGGAGCUGGAAGGAAAAGAAGGAAACAUUCCUUCCUCAACUGGAGGAAGACACGCGGCCACACACAGAACCAGCGGCCCCAGGACCGUCACCCUGCGUGCCCGGGCCUGUCCCUCCUGACCCCAGGAUUAUAGUGGCGAGGCAGGGUGUUAGCCAAGCGGAUUGAGCCAGGACACAACACCGCGGAGCCCUGCAGGCGAGUCCUCCGGAGGCUGAGAGCAAACGGCUGCACUAGGAACCCAGCAGUCAGACCGGCCCCCACCCUGGAGUGAACACAUCGCCACUGCCAGGCAUCGCAGGGAGGAUUACCCCAAUGGCACCUGGCUGGGCGACGAGAACAACCCCGAGAUGCGGGUGCACUGCGCCAUCAUCCCCUCCGACAUGCUGCACAUCAGCACCAACUGCCGCACGGCCGAGGAGAUGGUGCUCACGCUGCUGGACUACCUCUUCCACCGCGAGGUGCAGGCUGUGUCCAGCCUCUCGGGGCAGGGCAAGCACGGGAAGAAGCAGCUGGACCCGCUCACCAUCUAUGGCAUCCGGUAGCCGAUGAUGAGCACCCCACCUCCUGCCAGAGAGCUCCUGCAGCCACAGCUGCAGCCGCAGGCCCUGCACUACGCGCUGGCCAACGUGCAGCAGGUGCAGAUCCACCAGAUCGGAGAAGACGGACAGGUGCAAGUAGGACACCUCCACAUCGCCAAGGUGCCACAGGGGGAGCAAGUCCAGAUCACGCAGGACAGCGAGGGCAACCUCCAGAUCCAUCACGUGGGGCAGGAUGGUCAGCUGAGUGUCCCAGUCCCCAUGCACAUGCGGGCGUUGCGCUGCCAAGGGGUGGGGUUCUCAGGGGAGGGGGUGGGACGGUCAGGUGAGUGCCCUGGUCCCCAUGUACAUGUGGGCAUUGUGCUGCUGAGGGGUGGGGCUCUCAUGGGAAGGGGGCGGAUGGUCAGGUGAGUGCCACAGUCCCCCUCUCACAUAUAGGCCAUUGUGCUGCCAAGGAAUGGGGGCUCUCAUGGGAGGAAGCGAGGGUGCAAAGGCCUCUCAGUGUGAGCCCCAGAGCAGGACUGGCUUUCCUCACCAUGGCAAUGCACAGGCCUGGAAGGGGGAGGGCGGGGCUUGGGGGUUACAUUUGCUGCUCCGUAGGAUUUCAGCAGCUUUUGCAUUAUGGCGGAAACAUGCCCUCCCACCCCCACCACCCCACCCCCUUCAGAUGGUUAUUUUCUGCACACGCAUGUGUAUGUUGAUGGUGGUCAUAUUUGCACAGAUAACUCUGUUAGAAAAAGGUGGUUUCGCUCCUGUGUAUUGCCAUCAAACUCACAAACUUGCCUGCUUUCUAAUCCUUGACAAAAAGAGUGACCAUUGGUUGAACACCCCAGUACGAAUGGUCUUUACAAAAUGAUGUGCUCCGACGGUGCGGGUCCUGGGGAGGGUGUUGCUGUGCAGGACAGAGUCAACUCGCUGGUGGUUUUGAGGCUGUGUGUUCCUAGGUCCUGGUGAAGACCCUUUCUGUUCAGGAGAUGGCUGUCACCUCUGGAUCAUUGAAGAAUCUGGGUGAUCUUCCCAUUUCAUAAAACAGAAGCUGGGAAGUUGACAGUGAGAACCAUAAACAGAGCUCACUGUGUAGAAAGAUAAUACUAAUUUUUCAAAACCACAGCGCACUGUCCUAUGAGAAACCUGCAUGCGUUCCCUUUGUCAAGGCCAGGCCCUGCAGAUCUCUGACCCGACUGAGCCUGGGGCACCCCCAGAGUGAGGUGCUUUACACAGAGGGGGACAGAAGGGCAUGUGCUCCCGUGGGCUUUCUGUUGACCCCUCAGAGGCACCUUGGGAGAAGGGCUGCAGACCCUCCGAAACUGGUUUAUGUCAGAGUUUCUUAGUUGGAAAGUUUCAUCUUAAAGAUCAGCACGAGGUUUUCUCAGGUAGUCCUGCAGCAUCGCUCGUCUGUAAGUAUGAAAUUGCUGCUCUGGAAAAGAGCCAAAGGAAUGCGCAGCUUUUAAAUCCACAGUUGUGGCCUUGCGCUCACUCCACUGGGGUAAUGAGGCUGCGGUGGGCGCAGUGCAGGUCAGUUCUCUGCGCCUUUGUCCCCCGUGGUUCUCACGGUCACGGGGGCAGCAGAGGACAGGGCUCAUAGCUGGCGGUCCGUCUUAGUUUUCUGCAACAUAGUGGUUUAUGGUUCUGCUGGUAGUGGAACUGUAUCAUAGUUGAAACGCUGCUGGACGUUUAAUUCCUAGGAAAAGUAAGGCACGUCACCUUCGAUAUUCCCUUGUUCCUGUCUCUACCCCUGAACAAAAUCCACUUGGAAUUUUAAAGAUAGAACCAGGCUUUUACACUGUAUCACUGCAGUGCUUCUGUUUGUGAUUGUAGACAGAAUUCUCCCAACUCUACUGUGGGGACAGAGAUUCCAGCUUUUCUCAGCAGGCAUGGAGGCCCAUUGGCUCCAGCACAGAUCUGAGUUCAGGAAGGACUCAGGGCUGAUGUCGGAGGAGUUGCUGUCUGGAUUUCUCUGAACAAGAUUCCGUUCUGGUGUCUCUCGUUCCUCCGUCACUGCUGCCGCCCCACGUGCCUUUGCA
RNAcentral lists this long non-coding RNA (3175 nucleotides) under Homo sapiens (human). RNAcentral's name for it is "non-protein coding lnc-SLX1B-3:18". Lineage: Eukaryota; Metazoa; Chordata; Mammalia; Primates; Hominidae. The record is from RNAcentral.